UCUGGAGACAGGUGGCUGCAUGGCUGUCGUCAGCUCGUGUCGUGAGAUGUUGGGUUAAGUCCCGCAACGAGCGCAACCCUUGCCUUAGUUGCCAGCAGUUCGGCUGGGCACUCUAAAGGGACUGCCGGUGUUAAACCGGAGGAAGGUGGGGAUGACGUCAAGUCCUCAUGGCCUUUAUGACCAGGGCUACACACGUACUACAAUGGCCGAUACAAAGGGCAGCGACACUGCGAGGUGAAGCCAAUCCCGUAAAAUCGGUCUCAGUCCGGAUUGGAGUCUGCAACUCGACUCCAUGAAGUUGGAAUCGCUAGUAAUCGUGGAUCAGCAUGCCACGGUGAAUACGUUCCCGGGCCUU
RNAcentral lists this ribosomal RNA (355 nucleotides) under uncultured Desulfobulbus sp. RNAcentral describes it as "bacterial SSU rRNA". It matches the Rfam family "Bacterial small subunit ribosomal RNA", at positions 1027 to 1382 of the family's 1533-position model. Lineage: Bacteria; Pseudomonadati; Thermodesulfobacteriota; Desulfobulbia; Desulfobulbales; Desulfobulbaceae. The record is from RNAcentral.